Molecule: long non-coding RNA, 235 nt
Filed under: Eutrema salsugineum
Lineage: Eukaryota; Viridiplantae; Streptophyta; Magnoliopsida; Brassicales; Brassicaceae
Description: long non-coding RNA (ESAL_LNC001084)
Source: RNAcentral
CCACGCCUUAAAAUGGUAGGAGAAACAGCCACUGUUUCCACAUUGGUAACAGUUGUGGGACAACCAUAUAAACCAGCAUUAGCAGGGAACGGAGGCUUCAACCUAGGUUUUCCUUGCUUCCCUUCAAGGCUUUCAAGAAGCGCAGUCUCUUCACCACAAAUGUAAGCACCCGCGCCGUAGUGGAUAUAAACAUCGAAAUCAUAACCAGAACCACAUGCAUUCUUUCCCAAGAGAC